GGCCCUUAUCUGUUUAUACCAAACACGGUGGGGGGGGGGUGCCCGGGCUGACUGUGUACAGUGACAACAGGGGCUGAGCCCCGGGAAGGAAGCCAUCCCCCAGGCGGUCUCUAUUUGUCCAUAAACACAGUCCACCCCACGCCCCAGGGCGGAGGAGGGGCAAAGAAACCAGCCCAGCUGGAGCUGCCUUCCCACUGCUUUCCUGGCAGGGGGCACUCCCAGGCACCCAGGCACACCACCUCCUCCUCAUAGGCUCCAUCUCCCUCCCAGCACCACCCCCUGAGUUGUUUCCACAGCAAGUGAAAGGAUGAAAAUGCAACCUAAAACCCCCAAGACCCCAAGAAGAUAAUAAAGAAAAAGCCCUAGAUGCCCCUGAAUUCCAGAAACUCAUCCCUGCCAAGUAAAUACGUCACACUUGUUGUUGCAUCGGGGCCUGUUUUACGUCCUUUCACCUAGUUUUUUUCUAUGAAACUGGGUGGGAGGAUGUGAAACAGGCCUUGGGUGAAACUGCUGGCCUAAGCAAGGUAACAGGAUCUGAGUUGACUAAACGCUUAUCUGGCUUCUGUAAAACUGCUUGCAAAUAUUGAUUGCACAACUGCAAAAUGACACACCACCCACGAGCCCGCGCUAAUAUAGACCUCCUGAUUGGUCCUCAGAACGCGUACUUUAAAAUGAUUCGUCUUCCAGGCGCGGGCUCUUGAUGCGCGAGCUUUGUUGUGAACCCCAUUAAAGCUGUCCGCACUCGGGGCCGCAGUCCUCUACCCCUGCCUGGCAUACGACUGUGGGCCCCAGCGUGCUUGAAAUAAAAAUCCUCUUGCUGUUUGCAACAAGACCGCUUCUCGUGAGUGAUUUGCAGUGUCGCCUCUUCCGAGUCCAGACGAGGGGGAUUUUCCUUCUCCUGGCCUUUUCAUUUGGUGCGUUGGCCGGGAAUACCCCGCGACCACCCCUCACACCCGAGAACCGACUUGGAGCCUACUUGGGAUGAUUGUCAACAGCUGCUGCAGACACUCUUCACAACCGAGGGGCAAGAGAGAAUUCUGUUAGAGGCUAGAAAAAAAUGUUCCUGGGGCCGAUGGGUGGCCCACGC
This 1087-nucleotide long non-coding RNA is filed under the name Sus scrofa (pig). RNAcentral describes it as "lncRNA (ENSSSCG00070017332.1)". The record is from RNAcentral. Lineage: Eukaryota; Metazoa; Chordata; Mammalia; Artiodactyla; Suidae.